GAGGAGGUCGAUUAAGCAAUUUUUUCUCCUCUUUUUCAAUCCAUGGUGCUUGUUUUUUGUAUUUGGUGAAGACAAUUCCCCCUCCCCCUUCCCCCUUCCCCCUUCCCCCUUCCCUUUCCCCUUCUACAUAUUGCCAUUCUCUAUUUUUGUUUUGGGAUUAUGAGCUGCUUUUGAUUGCAUGCUCAUCGAAUACUCUUGAACUAGUUCUUUUUGGUAUAGUUGGUCG
This 226-nucleotide long non-coding RNA is filed under the name Amborella trichopoda. RNAcentral's name for it is "long non-coding RNA (ATRI_LNC001316)". Lineage: Eukaryota; Viridiplantae; Streptophyta; Magnoliopsida; Amborellales; Amborellaceae. The record is from RNAcentral.